CUUUAUGCCACCACAGAAGGUAUGGAAUGAAGCAAUCAAGAUGUAAUUGAAGUGCCGUGUGUCAGGAUUAAUUCAAGGGUUUUAACAAAAAUGUUGUAUGAACUGUUAAGAAUUUCAGCAUUUUUUAUUAUACAGAACUCCACUCAGAUUUAUGGGACUUAAUGUAAUGGAACAAAAUAACAAUAACAAAAAAAAACAUACAAAGUCUGUAUUUCCUAUUAGGGAUCAACAGAUAUUGAUUUUUUUAGAGCCGAUACCGAUAAUCUGUUAACUUCCAGGCCGAUAUAAUUUGCCGAUAUUCUGUACAUUUACCAUUUUGAAAAAAACAAAAAAACAAUUUCUAAAGGUAAAUGCACAAAAUAUACAUGCCACAUGUAGUGGAUGCAGUGUGUUUAGACAUGGGAGCAGUGUGUGUUUGUGACGUGUGUGUGUAAUGGAUGCAGUGUGUUUGUCUAGUGUGUAGUGUGUAUAUAAUGAAAGCAGAGUGUUUGUGUAGUGUAUGGGUAGUGUGCGUAAAGUGAAUGCUGUAUAUACUUGUGACGAGACCAAUCUCGCCACAUUGCAUUGGAGAAGCCUGGUUGCUCGC
This is a non-coding RNA of Pelobates cultripes (western spadefoot toad), 586 nucleotides long. Lineage: Eukaryota; Metazoa; Chordata; Amphibia; Anura; Pelobatidae. The record is from the annotation of a GenBank genome assembly.